Labeo rohita (rohu) is the source of this 5583-nucleotide RNA transcript. It is a transcript of the gene named RNA binding motif, single stranded interacting protein 1a, with no coding region annotated. The record is from RefSeq and is a predicted model, not a curated record. NCBI's taxonomy places the organism in Eukaryota, Metazoa, Chordata, Actinopteri, Cypriniformes, Cyprinidae. The transcript has 15 exons.
CGAGAUCAAUGAACCAGGCGAUUUACCGAAACUGGUCGGACGAGCCAAGGUGGGAAUAAACCAUCGAUCAAGAGCUUGGUUUUUAUUUAGCAGAAAUCUCUAUCUGCUUCAGCACGGAUUAUCACUUCACUCCGAAGCCAACAUUGAAGUGUGCGAUGUGGAAAAUUUACAGUUCUUUACUGUAACCUUAUAUCAACUGAUUUUGAGAGUAGAUUUUUUUUAAUUCAUCGUUGGGUCGCAUAACACAGGGGAAUACAGGAUGAUCUUCGCAAAUACGGCUAACCCAUUGAGAACUUCAUAUCGAAAGCAGCCUCCUGUUGCUCCGCCCACCCUGCCUAUGGCCCCGCCCAGUCCGAGCACCAAUAGCAGCACCAACAACAGCAGUAGCAGCAGCAGCAGCACAACCGGCUGGGAGCAACUCAGCAAAACAAACCUUUACAUCCGCGGGUUACCGCCAGGAACCACCGAUCACGACCUGGUCAAACUCUGCCAGCCAUAUGGUAAAAUCGUGUCCACCAAAGCCAUUCUUGAUAAGACUACAAACAAAUGCAAAGGAUAUGGGUUUGUGGAUUUUGACAGUCCCGUGUCCGCGCAAAAAGCCGUCGCAGCGCUAAAGACCAAUGGAGUCCAGGCUCAAAUGGCCAAGCAACAGGAGCAGGACCCGACUAACCUGUACCUGUCCAACCUGCCGGUGUCCAUGGAUGAGCAAGAGCUAGAGAAUCUCCUCAAGCCUUUUGGACAGGUCGUCUCCACCCGAAUCCUCCGUGACACUAACGGAGUGAGCCGGGGAGUGGGCUUUGCCAGGAUGGAAUCUACAGAGAAGUGCGACGCCGUGAUCUCUCACUUCAACGGGAAGUUCAUUAAGUCCUCCUCUGGGAUGCUGGGUGCAUCAGAGCCUUUGCUGUGUAAGUUCGCUGACGGCGGACAGAAGAAGAGACAGAGUCAGGCUAAAUACGUCCCCAACGGACGAACCUGGACACGAGACGCCGAGGUGAGACUAAGUGGAAUGACUUUGACCUAUGACCCCAGUACCGCCCUUCAGAAUGGGUACUAUGCUGCUCCUUAUGCCAUGGGAAACCGGUUAAUGGCUCAGCCUGGAGUGUCUCCAUACAUCUCUCCUAUCUCUACAUACCAGGUACAGAAUCCUUCAUGGAUGCCACAUCAGCCUUACAUCAUGCAACACCCGGGAGCAGUUCUGUCGCCCUCUAUGGAGCAUCCCAUGUCACUGCAGCCGUCCGCUAUGUUGGCUCCCCUCACCCAGCAGAUGGGCCAUCUCUCUCUGGGCGGCACCGCAACCUUUAUUCCUGCCAACACAGCAAUGCCAGGAGCUUACAUCCCUCAAUAUGCCCACAUUCAGCCCGCUGCCAUCCCUCCUGAGUCACAAAGAAAUGGGUUUUUGAGGAAAACAUUCCAAGAUUUUUCUCCAUAUAGUGGAUUUCAAUGGGAGGCAAUGGGUUGAAGAUCCAAAUUGCAGGUUCAAUGCAGCUUCAAAGGACUCUACACGAUCCCAGCUGAGGAAUAAGGAUUGGUUCUAAAAAAAAAUACAUUUAUAUACUUUUUAACCACAAAUGUUUGUCUUGCACUAGCUUGAAUUCACACAUUACUUUAUAAAAAUAGAAAUAUCACGCGCGAUGUAGGCAAAAGUGCCAACCCAGUGUUUACAAAGCUAACGUGCCUUUGCAAAAAAAGGUAAAUCGACGAUGUCGGACACUUUUGAAGCCGAAGGAGAAUAUGAGAUGGAGUUUUUCGUCCUACCCUACCAUUUUGAACUGGAGUACACAGACAAAGAACUAACCUUUCCAACUGAUUGUGUAAUAUGUGAUGCACAUCGCAGAACAUUUGUGUUUGGAAAAAUAUAGAAAUUCGUCUUUUUCUUAGAAAACGACAGAUCGUUUCGCUAGAUAAAACCCUUAUCCCUUGGCUGGGAUUGUGUAGAGCCCUUUGAAGCUGCGUUGAAACUAGGGGUGUGCGAUAUUGACAAAAAAGAAUAUCUCGAUAGCGAUAAUUAGAUGAUAUUUAGCUGAGCGUGUUAUUGUGCCGAUAUCUUAAGGACUACCAUGGACAGCUGACUCCUAAAUUGGUCAGUUCACAGCAGUGAAAUUAUUCUUUCCACUAAAGAAUAAUUUUAAUCAGUCAGUUAUAAUAAUAAUAAUACAUUUAGGCUGUUACCAAACAAAUGAAAUCAGUAUCAACAAAAUACUGAUAUUUGAAAUUAUUUUAAAAAUGAAAUGAUGCUUUAAAACUUUAAAUGUGAAAUUAAAACCGCCUGUAGGUGGCAGCAAGUCACAGUUAAUAAGUGAGUCAUUACGAUUGAACCGAAUCAUUUAAACGGUUGAUUCAAUCAGGAACGAAACACGUCGUGUUGCUCUGAGAUGCAAAAUAGUGCUGUGUUUCAAAUGAUUUUGUUGAUGAGCCAAUAUGAUGACUAAAACGUAAGUCUUUUAUAUUAACUUAUUGUUUAUUGAACUGUAUAAAAAAAAAUCACAUUUGUAAUCAUGCUGAUUUUUGAAGGAAAAACGUCACUGUGAUGUUGAUUAACUAUGUGAAAUAUGAAUAUAUACAUUUUCUGCCCCCAUAUUUUGAAUUUUGUUUUCAUUCUAAAUGCAUUUUAAUUUAAUCAGACUUUAUGACGUAAUGUAUGCGUGCAUUGUGUAGGUGUGUUUUGUUUGCAAUAUACGUUAAAAUAACAAUUACGAUAUUGUCGCAGACAAUAUGGCACACCCCUAAUUAAAACUGCAGUUUGCACCUUCAACCCAUUGAUCCCCAUUGAAGUCCAACAUAUGUGACCCUGGACCACAAAACCAGUCAUAAUUUUUUGAUAUUGAGAUUUAUUUUGAAUAAAUAAGCUUCCUAUUGAUGUAUGGUUUGUUAGGAUAGGAUAUAUUUGGCUGAGAUACAGCUAUUUGUGAAUCUGGAAUCUGAGGGUGCAAAAAAUCUAAAUAUUGAGAAAAUUGCCUUUUAAAGUCGUCCAAGUUUUUAGCAAUUCAUAUUACUAAUUAAUGCAUAUAUUUACAGUAGGAAAUGUACAAAAUAUCUUCAUGGAACAUGAUCUUUACUUAAUAUCCCAAUGAUUUUGGCAUAAAAGAAAAAGAUAUAAUUUUGACCCAUGCAGUGUAUUUCUGGCUAUUGCUUUCUCAAAAACCUUAAUUUCUUUUCGACUGAAGAAAGAACGAUGUGAACAUCUUGGAUGACAUAGUGCAGGAAAGUGGUGUACAGCCACAAGAUGUGUCCUCUUCAGAUCCGUCAUCGUACCCUUACCAACCAAACAAGCAAUAAAACGGUUAAUCGUCUGAGGUCAGAACCAGACACAGACUGCUGAGUGUUACAACCGUAACAACAUUUGCUUUCUUUUAGAGGAAGUGACAUCAGAGAGGAACUAACGCUCAUGCACGGGUUGCAGAAAAUUUGUCCGUGAUUUAAUCAUCUGCUUUGAAGAAAUCAACAAGAAACCUCAGAAGACUCUUGUGCAAACAUUUUCUCCAACAAACCAAGACAAGGCAAUAUCACACCAACUAUGGACAACGGAAGGCGAGCAGAGUUUUAUUUUGCUAGAAAGAGGAAGGAGAAGAUGACAAAUGCUUAUUUUUUACCAAGAACUAUUAACACAGACCAUGUCUGUGAGUAACGUUGAGUAAUGAUGUUAAUGGUGAUAAGACACCUUUCGAUGCAUGAUGUUUUUUUUUUUUUUUGUUUUUUUUAAUAUGGUUUUUAUUACGUUUUUAUGGACUGUUUCUCAAACAGACAAAUGAAAAUUUUUUUGUGGUUGCAGUCGAAAUGAAGAGGUUUCUGUUUGCUUUUUUGGUCUUCCACUCUUUGCCUUUUUAGUAGAUUAGAUAUUGACCUUUUAAAUAAGGUGGGCGGGGUUUAGAAUGACUGAUGCAACGCUUGCUGGCUAUUGGUCCUUGCUCCUGUCUCUCAAAGCAAAGGCUUUCCUGUUUCCUUUUUUAAUGUCGCUCUGAAUCAAACACGUUUGUUUCAGGGAUCGCGUGUCUGUCGUGAAUGAAUCUUCUUUCCAUCGAAUCCAUGUGUAAAGUCUUUCGGUAGAUGUAGAAGUGGAUGUUGAGAUGCGGGUGGGCGGGGUUUUAGUGAUAUGAGUGGGUGGGGUCAAGCUAGAUGAGGUGUGUGGGUGGGGCUAAUAAAAGGGAUGUUGUGGAUUUGGGAAAGCUGACAUUGUUCUUUCUGUUCACAGGAUGAUUGCGAUUUUUCUUUCCAGUGCCAUUUAUUUAUUUUUCUGUUUUUUUAACACAACACAUCAGGAUUUUGUUUGAUGCUCAGAAAAAAAAAAGGCAGAAGUGCAAUGUUUCUUUAGGUAGAAAGCAAGAGAUGUAUAAAUUAGGUAAGAAUUAUUCCUUUUUUGCUCUUUCGAAAUCUUUGAAAUGUCAAUAAUGCCGUUCAUAAUGUAGAUUAAACCUAAAUUUGUGGCCUAACAGAUACAUUUUUAGACAUAAGAUAGCACAGUUUUUCAAAAGUACGUUUCCGAAGAGAAACACCACUAUGUUUCUGAAUAAAUAAUGUAAUUAAAACAUUCGUCCGUACAAUUUAAUAAAUAAACAAACAUGAAACUUCAAGGCAACUAUGACACUUUCCACCAAAGACCUUUUUUGCCUACUAUUAAACACGAUAGUAUGGACUACUGCAGUGGGUUUUGGUCAAACUGAAUGGUAGUUUGUGUCUUUUCCAUCAGUCUUGGCUCUCAGCUUUAAUCGAGUUUUCGUUAGUGUGGACACAUGAACAUCUCUAAGCAGCUGGACGGAGGGAAGACUUGAUCCCAGUUUCCUAACACGGUUGUAAACAAGCCUUUCUUCUGUCUGUCAUACGGUUAGUUAAGCAGAUUUGUGUGUGUCUGUGUGUGAUUGUGAAUUUAGAUGUCCAGGUCAGCUUGGCCUUUGAUCUACCUCAGAGUUGUAUCUGUUGUCUGAUUGGUCGGGCUGCAGGUCUAUCCUGGCCAAUCAGAUGUAAAAGCGCCGGCUCUGGAGCUGGUGCCGUGCAGAACUUCAUCUUUAACGCGUCUAUUUGUCCUUCUCUUUAAAGAAACAUCUAUGUUUUGUAUCAGUAUGUCUUUCUGUUUUUUUUUUUUUUUACAUUGCAUUGUGAUGUUUUGAGCUUGAUUGUGUGGAGAAUUUCUUUAUGUUCUUUUUUGUCCAUUUCUUCUUCUGAUAGGUGCAGCAAAAAAAGAGAGGCUUGUGUAAUUUUUCCUGCAUUUGUUUGGUCUUUUUACAAAAAUCCACAUAAACUACCUUCUCUGGAAUUUUAUUUUCAGUUUGCUGUAGCCUCUCCGUGUUUAGAGGCCUAAUCUGAAGAACCAAAGUGAAAUAUUAUCACAGUUACUAACGUGUGUCAAAAAGCAGCACGUCGUAGUUUCAUUGGAGAGAUACAGUGUCUUUAUUUCAGUUGUCAAAAUAAACGUUUCAAAACAGCAAUCAUUCACGCAGUGUAUAAACACAGGACUGUUGUUGAGAUACUGAUUUUUUUUUUUAAAUUGUUCUAUUGAACACCUGCCACUUGCACGUCCAGAAUUUGUUUUAUUUCCUUUUUUCUGUUGUGAAAAGAAAAGAUUUUUUGAAUUAAAAGAGCUCAAAUUUG